GCUGGCUAGGCACUUUAUUAGAGGGCAGUCAGGUCUUCAUGGUCUAGCGACAGGUCCGGAGAAGUGAGGGGAAAUGGAGCAUCUCCCUGGAAACGCUGGGAUCUUAGAAGGUUUCUGCAUACCCAGAUGUGGUUGCAGCUGAGGCUGAGAGUGUCUUCCGUUCCGGCCUUGCUGGAUAACGCAUGCCUGCCAACUCUAUGUAAACAAAAAGCCUGCAUUCUUUUUCCCUAAAGGGGAAAUCAGUGUUUAUCUAGCGCCCCCUAGCUUCAGACGCCUUUCAUACACUCGUUUAAUCACGGCGAUUGUCCAAAUAUAGAAUUCUCCUCUCAAUUACCUGUAAGAGUUGAGGUCAGAGAGAGUAAUUUGUCUAAGUCACGUAGCC
RNAcentral lists this long non-coding RNA (382 nucleotides) under Homo sapiens (human). RNAcentral's name for it is "non-protein coding lnc-SENP7-1:2". The record is from RNAcentral. Lineage: Eukaryota; Metazoa; Chordata; Mammalia; Primates; Hominidae.